Non-coding RNA from Anaeramoeba ignava, 74 nucleotides. The record is from the annotation of a GenBank genome assembly. Lineage: Eukaryota; Anaeramoebidae.
GAUCUUGUAGCGCAAUUGGAUAGCGCGUUAGACUUCGGAUCUAAAGGUUGUGGGUUCAAGUCCCAUCAGGAUCG